CAGCACCUCAAGUGGUCAGGAUGAUUAUUGGGCCUAAAGCAUCCGUAGCCGGCGCUGUAAGUUUUCGGUUAAAUCUGUACGCUCAACGUACAGGCUGCCGGGAAUACUGCAAAGCUAGGGAGUGGGAGAGGUAGACGGUACUCGGUAGGAAGGGGUAAAAUCCUUUGAUCUAUUGAUGACCACCUAUGGCGAAGGCGGUCUACCAGAACACGUCCGACGGUGAGGGAUGAAAGCUGGGGGAGCAAACCGGAUUAGAUACCCGAGUAGUCC
Molecule: ribosomal RNA, 270 nt
Filed under: uncultured archaeon
Lineage: Archaea
Description: partial 16S ribosomal RNA
Rfam family: Archaeal small subunit ribosomal RNA
Source: RNAcentral